AUUGAACGCUGGCGGCAGGCCUAACACAUGCAAGUCGAGCGGAUGAAGGGAGCUUGCUCCUGUCUUCUGCUGCGGACGGGUGAGUAAUGCCUAGGAAUCUGCCUGGCCUUUGGGGAUAACGUCCGUACACGGGCGCUAAUACCGCAUCCGUCCUGAGGUAGAAAGUCGGGGAUCUUCGGACCUCACGCUUUCAGAUGAGCCUAGGUCGGAUUAGCUAGUUGGUGGGGUAAAGGCCUACCAAGGCGACGAUCCGUAACUGGUCUGAGAGGAUGAUCAGUCACACGGGAACUGGGACAGGGUCCAGACUCCUACGGAGGGAAGCGGUGGGGAAUAUUGGACAAUGGGCGAAAGCCUAAUCCAGCAAUGCGGGGUGGGUGAAGAAGGUCUUCGAAUUGUAAAGCAUGUUAGGUGGGGAGAAAAGGCGGUAAGUUAAUACCUGGCUGUUUGGACGUUACCAACAGAAUAAGCACCGGCUAACAUCGG
This 483-nucleotide ribosomal RNA is filed under the name uncultured bacterium. RNAcentral describes it as "partial 16S ribosomal RNA". It matches the Rfam family "Bacterial small subunit ribosomal RNA", at positions 30 to 506 of the family's 1533-position model. The record is from RNAcentral.